CCUAAGGGUCCCCGCACAUGGGCCACCGGCCACAACCACAAAACGCCGCCACUGGCAUAUUUCCUGUAAUUUUCAUACAUUUUAUAUGGACUCGCCGCACACGGUGGCGCCGGUGGCGGCCACACGCUACAAAUCGUCGCAGCUUGCUUCUUGUGGCUCACACCGGCCACUAAACGCCGACACAAAAAGCCGCCACACGCCACUCGCGCGAUUCCGCGCCCCUCUCUCCCUUGCCUCAGUUAACCUGAAGUCGACGGCAAGGGUUAAAAAAAGUAGCAGCCACCGACCGCAAGUGUCGACCACCGGCCACAAGUGGCUGUCGCGCGCUUCAGCUACCUUUGUAGCCGCUUCUAGCUUCUCGUGGCGGCGUUUGUGGCUGUGGCGUGUGGCCCGUGUGCGGCGACAGU
Pieris napi is the source of this 407-nucleotide long non-coding RNA. RefSeq lists it as uncharacterized. NCBI's taxonomy places the organism in Eukaryota, Metazoa, Arthropoda, Insecta, Lepidoptera, Pieridae. The transcript is spliced from 2 exons. The record is from RefSeq and is a predicted model, not a curated record.